RNAcentral lists this transfer RNA (75 nucleotides) under Candidatus Paracaedibacteraceae bacterium. Its description in RNAcentral is "tRNA-Glu". It matches the Rfam family "tRNA". From Rfam's summary of the family: Transfer RNA (tRNA) molecules are approximately 80 nucleotides in length. Their secondary structure includes four short double-helical elements and three loops (D, anti-codon, and T loops). The record is from RNAcentral. Lineage: Bacteria; Pseudomonadati; Pseudomonadota; Alphaproteobacteria; Holosporales; Candidatus Paracaedibacteraceae.
GUCCCCUUCGUCUAGCGGUCAGGACAUCACCCUCUCACGGUGGAAACACGGGUUCGAUUCCCGUAGGGGAUGCCA